GGUUGCUCGUCCCAUUUGCUGAACAACAUGUCACCAAAUAGAGCCAGGAACAGGGGGGCUCUGUGCUCCUGAGACAAACAGGAAAUUGGAAUCCCAGUGACAUGAUGAAAAGACUGGAAAUAACACCAUGCUGACAGAGUAGAGACGGUCUCUAUCGAUCAGUACAUCUAACAUGAAAAAACACUGUGCAAGAUGAAAAGGACUACAUGUUGGACUGAAGACAGAAAGCCUGUUUAUAAGAGGAAUAAACUUUGUCUACAGAUAAUAUAACCAAAGUUCUUGCAGAUGAACUCUGCUCAUUCACAGCCACUACCAGCAGUUCCCAUUUGCUUUGAGUUCUACUUUCAGUUCUGCUGUUGAGGAACUUGUUAGAGUGAUGAGCAAGCACCUCCUUGGGCUCCCUAGCAGGCAGUGCUAGGAAGAUGCUCUGCUGCUGCACUCAGUGCUUCUGUAGCAUCACCCUGACAGUGUGCUACUGUUGCCAUGAAGGGAUGCCAGCUUCAGCUGAAGGCACUUGGUUCCACUCUGGAUGAUGCUCUGUAGCUUCUAUGAAGUGUACAAAUAACAGCGCUACUCAUCUAGCACUACUGAAUGGCAGAUAGCACUGAACAACUCUGUAUGUAUCAUCAUAUUUGACCAAGGAGAAACUGAUGAAUUUUCACUGUGUUCAACAAGCUAUGAAAUAUCUAGUCCAGUGCCAGUGAAACCAGAACACUGCAGCAUCAUAAAUUAUCACUAUAGCACACAGGCUAUUAACCUUCCAAAACAUUCACCUCAGAGGCUAAACUUCGCAGUACUUCAGCUUCAAUUCUGAGAAAUGUCUCUUUUCCACAACAACAUGAUAAGUGAGAGUGAAUGAAGUCCCUUGCGCAACAAAUGCAGGUUUGAGGAAUACCUCUUCAUCCAUCUUUAAAUAAUAAGAGAAUGGCAAUAAGAGACGUGAUCUGACUGAACUUCUCUCUAUGAAAGCAUUUUAAAAUAUGGCACUUUACUCAUGGUAUUUUCAGAGGACAUGCAAAAUGCAGCAGAAAUUUGGAAGAAUUGAAUACUGACAUCUCUAACAGAAACCAGUAGGUCUGCAAAGACUCAUAGUGUCCUUGACUUGAAAAAAAAACACAAAACAAAACAAAACAAAAAACAAAAAACCCUAGAUUUCUUGUGUGAGCAGAGGGGGGAGGGGAAGGGGAGGAAGGAAUUAUAGAGAAUGACUUAGGUUGGAAGGGAUGUUAAAGAUGAUUGAGUUCCAGCCCCACUACCAUGAGCAGGGUUGCCCCCCACAGGAUCAGGCUGCCCAGGGCUCCAUCCAACCUGGCCUUGUAUGCCCCCAGCUGACAACAGGACCACCUAAAAAAGCAGUUUUUCUCUGUUAGUUGAUAGGGCAGGUGGAAAGGGUUUUUUACAAAGUAGUUGAUCUGAUUAUUAAACUACUGCUACUUCAAGAGCUUAAAGUGAGCUUAUCCCAGGCAAACUUUGAGGGAGGAGCUUUGUCAUAGACAGGGGGAUAUGCAUAUAUAUACACUACAUCUGGAUUAAACAAGAUGAUGCGUAUGUCUAUAAGGUAUUGCUGAAAACUGUUAUAGAAAAAGGUAAUAGCUAAGUAUUCAAUACCUAAUUUUCAUUCCCAAUAAUGUUUAGAAAAAAAAGAUGUAGCUGAAGAUGAAAUACACUCUGCAUUUCUAAAAUGGGCAAUUAUAACCAGAAAAAUGAAGUGAUUAGUCAGAAAUACUUCCUACAAUGGAAGGAGGAAAUAAAAGUGAAAUUAGCUGCUAAAGGGAUGAAAGUGCCUUCAACAAUAAUUCACCAUUCAGUCAGUGGUAAAGAGAGCUUAGUGGUCCGAAUAACAGAUUUUGAAAUAUUUAAUCUUCAGGA
Long non-coding RNA from Lagopus leucura (white-tailed ptarmigan), 1869 nucleotides. RefSeq lists it as uncharacterized. The record is from RefSeq and is a predicted model, not a curated record. NCBI's taxonomy places the organism in Eukaryota, Metazoa, Chordata, Aves, Galliformes, Phasianidae. The transcript is spliced from 7 exons.